GAUCAAGCCACUAAGGGCAUACGGUGGAUGACUUGGCGUCAAGAGGCGAUGAAAGACGUUGGAACCUGCGAAAAGCUACAGGGAGCUGGUAACCGAGCUGUGAUCUGUAGAUGUCUGAAUGGGGCAACCCACCCGCAAGGGUAUCGUGCACUGAAUGCAUAGGUGUACGAGGCAAACCCAGGGAACUGAAACAUCUAAGUACCUGGAGGAAAGGAAAGCAACAUGCGACUCCGUAAGUAGCGGCGAGCGAAAGCGGAUAGAUGUGAACCUUGUGAGCACGUUGGAAUGCGUGACCAAAGACGGUGAAAGUCCGGUAGCAAGGUGUAGCAUCAUAGCCCUCGAGUAGGCUCGGGCUCGUGGAACCCGGGUUGAACAUGGGAGGUCCACCUUCCAAGGCUAAGUACUCCUUGACGACCGAUAGCGAAGAAGUAAAGUGAUUGAAAGUUUAAAAGUACCCCUAUUAGGGGGGUGAAAUAGACCUGAAACCGUAUGCCUACAAGCGGUCGGAGCCCUACGGGGUGACGGCGUGCUUUUUGCAUAAUGAGCCCGCGAGUUAGUCUCAGUGGCGAGCUUAAGGCCUAACGGGCCGGAGGCGGAGCGAAAGCGAGUCUGAAUAGGGCGUUGAGUCGCUGGGGCUAGACACGAAACCCGUGUGAUCUACCCAUGGUCAGGGUGAAGGUGGGGUAAAACCCGCUGGAGGCCCGAACCCGUUAACGUUGAAAAGUUAUGGGAUGAACUGUGGGGAGGGGUCAAAGUCCAAUCAAACCGGGAGAUAGCUUGUUCUCACCGAAAUAACUUUAGGGUUAGCCUCAAGAAGCAACUGUUGGGGGUAGAGCUACUGGAUGCGAGGUGGGCCCGUCUAGGGUACCCCUUGCAACCAAACUCCGAAUACCAACAGCCAAGUCUUGGGAGAUAGACUGCGAGUGAAAAUAUCCGUAGUCAAAAGGAGAAUAAUCCUGAUCGCCGGCUAAGGUCCCCAAAUCAUGCUCAGUUCUUAAGGAGGUCAGACUGCCGUGACAACCAGGAUGUUGGCUUAGAAGCAGCCACCAUUUAAAGAGUGCGUAAUAGCUCACUGGUCGAGGAGUUUGGCGCCGAUAAUGAUCGGGAAUAAGCAUGAUACCGAAGCCGCGGACUUCGUAAGAAGUGGUAGGUGAGCGUUCCAUUCAGCUUUGAAGGUGUUCGGUAACGGAUGCUGGAGCGUAUGGAAGUGAAUAUGCGGGCUUGAGUAACGAUAAACAGGGUGAGAAUCCCUGUCGCCGUAAGUCUAAGGUUUCCUGGGGAAGGUACAUCCGCCCAGGGUUAGCCGGGUCCUAAGGCGAGGCUGAAAAGCGUAGUCGAUGGAUAGCAGGUUAAUAUUCCUGCGCACCUGUUGAGAUCAAAGCAUAGUGCGGAUUUCCAAGCUCUUCUGGACUGCUAGUUGUCCAGGCCUUCGGGCCGUUGAAGGGGGAGGGAGUUCCUAGAAAAGCUAUGUGGGCAAUACAGGUCCCGUACUAAAACUGACACAGGUAGACGAGGCGAAUAGCCUCAGGCGCUCGAGAGAAUGGUUGUGAAGGAACUAGGCAAAAUCACUCCGUAAGUUCGCAAGAAGGAGGCCCUUCGGGGCGCAGAGAAAAGGCCCUGGCAACUGUUUAUCAAAAACACAGCACUGUGCUAACUCGCAAGAGGAUGUAUACAGUGUGACGCUUGCCCAAUGCCCGAAUGUCACGGGAGCAGGUUAGCUUCGGCGAAGCUUGCAACUUAAGCACGGGUCAAUGGCGGCCGUAACUAUGACGGUCCUAAGGUAGCGAAGUUCCUUGUCGGGUAAGUUCCGACGCGCAUGAAUAGCGUAAUGACUGGGGCACUGUCUCCACAACCAACUCGGUGAAAUAGUAGUGGCGGUGAAGAUGCCGCCUACCCGCAGCAAGACGGAAAGACCCCGUGAACCUUUACUGCAGGCUCAUAUUGGUCAUGAGCACAUGAUGCGCAGGAUAAGUGGGAGACUUUGAAGCCGAUAUUCAGGUGUCGGUGGAGUCGUUGGUGAGAUACCACUCUUCUUGAGUUUGUGGCCUAACCCUGAUUCCCGUGAAGCCGGGCAGGGGACAGUGUGUGUCGGGUAGUUUGACUGGGGCGGUCUCCUCCUAAAGAGUAACGGAGGAGCGCAAAGGUUGGCUCAGCACGGAUGGAAACCGUGUUUCAGAGUGUAAGAGCACAAGCCAGCUUUACUGCGAGUCCGACAGGACGAGCAGUCUCGAAAGAGGGCUCUAGUGAUCCUGCGAUCGCGUGUGGAAGCGUCGUAGCUCAUCGGAUAAAAGGUACUCCGGGGAUAACAGGCUUAUCGCUCCCGAGCGUCCAUAGCGGCGGAGCGGUUUGGCACCUCGAUGUCGGCUCAUCGCAUCCUGGGGCUGAAGGCGGUCCCAAGGGUUAGGCUGUUCGCCUAUUAAAGCGGUACGCGAGCUGGGUUCAGACCGGCGUGAGCCAGGUCGGUCCCUAUCUGUUGUGGGCGUUGCAAACUUGAGAGGAGUCAACUUUAGUACGAGAGGAUUAGGUUGGACUGACCCCUGGUGAUCCUGUUGGGCUGCUAAGCCCAUCGCAGGGUAGCUACGUCGGGCAGGGAUAACAGCUGAAAGCAUCUAAGCAGGAAGCCCCCCUCGAGAUCAGGUUUGCUUGUCUUGUACGAGAGACCCCUGGGAGACUACCAGGUUGAUAGGCCGCAGGUGUAAGGGUUGAGAAGCCCUCAGCUGAGCGGUACUAACGGUCGAAGGUUUGGUCAC
This 2750-nucleotide ribosomal RNA is filed under the name Phycisphaerales bacterium. Its description in RNAcentral is "23S ribosomal RNA". It matches the Rfam family "Bacterial large subunit ribosomal RNA". The record is from RNAcentral. Lineage: Bacteria; Pseudomonadati; Planctomycetota; Phycisphaerae; Phycisphaerales.